RNAcentral lists this ribosomal RNA (572 nucleotides) under uncultured bacterium GR-WP54-8. RNAcentral describes it as "bacterial SSU rRNA". It matches the Rfam family "Bacterial small subunit ribosomal RNA", at positions 959 to 1533 of the family's 1533-position model. The record is from RNAcentral.
ACGCGAAGAACCUUACCAAGGCUUGACAUCGUAUUGACAAAUACAGAAAUGUACCUCCUUCGGGCAGUAUGACAGGUGGUGCAUGGCUGUCGUCAGCUCGUGUCGUGAGAUGUUGGGUUAAGUCCCGCAACGAGCGCAACCCUUUUCCCAUGUUGCCAGCAAUUCGGUUGGGCACUCUUGGGAUACUGCCAGUGUAAAACUGGAGGAAGGUGGGGAUGACGUCAAGUCAUCAUGCCCUUUGUGCCUUGGGCUGCACACGUGCUACAAUGGCUUGAACAAAGAGAAGCGAUACUGCGAGGUGGAGCGAAUCUCAUAAAACAAGUCUAAGUCCGGAUUGAAGGCUGCAACUCGCCUUCAUGAAGUCGGAGUCGCUAGUAAUCGUGGAUCAGAACGCCACGGUGAAUACGUUCCCGGGCCUUGUACACACCGCCCGUCACACCAUGAAAAUCGGAUACACCCGAAGCCAGUGUGCCAACUGUUUACAGAGGUAGCUGUUGAAGGUGGAGCCGGUGAUUAGGGUGAAGUCGUAACAAGGUAGCCGUACCGGAAGGUGCGGCUGGAUCACCUCCUUU